RNAcentral lists this ribosomal RNA (903 nucleotides) under uncultured bacterium. RNAcentral's name for it is "bacterial SSU rRNA". It matches the Rfam family "Bacterial small subunit ribosomal RNA", at positions 8 to 917 of the family's 1533-position model. The record is from RNAcentral.
AGAGUUUGAUCCUGGCUCAGGACGAACGCUGGCGGCGUGCUUAACACAUGCAAGUCGAGCGGAAAUAUAUUGAAGAUUCGUCGGAUAUAUAUUUUAGCGGCGGACGGGUGAGUAACGCGUGGGCAAUCUGCCUCACACAGGGGAAUAACACUGGGAAACUAGUGCUAAUACCGCAUAAUAUAACGAAGCGGCAUCGCUUUGUUAUCAAAGGAGCAAUCCGGUGUGAGAUGAGCCCGCGUCCGAUUAGCUAGUUGGUGGGGUAACGGCCCACCAAGGCGACGAUCGGUAGCCGAACUGAGAGGUUGAUCGGCCACAUUGGGACUGAGACACGGCCCAGACUCCUACGGGAGGCAGCAGUGGGGAAUAUUGCGCAAUGGGGGAAACCCUGACGCAGCAACGCCGCGUGAAGGAUGAAGGUUUUCGGAUUGUAAACUUCUUUGAUCGGGGACGAAGAUGACGGUACCCGAGGAACAAGCCACGGCUAACUACGUGCCAGCAGCCGCGGUAAUACGUAGGUGGCAAGCGUUGUCCGGAAUUACUGGGUGUAAGGGGCGUGUAGGCGGGGCGGCAAGUCAGAUGUGAAAUACCUCGGCUUAACUGGGGUGCUGCAACUGAAACUGUCGUUCUUGAGUGUCGGAGAGGAAAGUGGAAUUCCCAGUGUAGCGGUGAAAUGCGUAGAGAUUGGGAGGAACACCAGUGGCGAAGGCGGCUUUCUGGACGAUAACUGACGCUGAGGCGCGAAAGCGUGGGUAGCAAACAGGAUUAGAUACCCUGGUAGUCCACGCUGUAAACGAUGGAUACUAGGUGUAGGAGGUAUCGACCCCUUCUGUGCCGGAGUUAACACAAUAAGUAUCCCACCUGGGGAGUACGGCCGCAAGGUUGAAACUCAAAUGAAUUGACCGG